AUGCUGGAGGUAUCAGAAGUGCGAAUGCUGACAUAAGUAACGAUAAAGCGGGUGAAAAGCCCGCUCGCCGGAAGACCAAGGGUUCCUGUCCAACGUUAAUCGGGGCAGGGUGAGUCGACCCCUAAGGCGAGGCCGAAAGGCGUAGUCGAUGGGAAACAGGUUAAUAUUCCUGUACUUGGUGUUACUGCGAAGGGGGGACGGAGAAGGCUAUGUUGGCCGGGCGACGGUUGUCCCGGUUUAAGCGUGUAGGCUGGUUUUCCAGGCAAAUCCGGAAAAUCAAGGCUGAGGCGUGAUGACGAGGCACUACGGUGCUGAAGCAACAAAUGCCCUGCUUCCAGGAAAAGCCUCUAAGCAUCAGGUAACAUCAAAUCGUACCCCAAACCGACACAGGUGGUCAGGUAGAGAAUACCAAGGCGCUUGAGAGAACUCGGGUGAAGGAACUAGGCAAAAUGGUGCCGUAACUUCGGGAGAAGGCACGCUGAUAUGCAGGUGAAGUCCCUCGCGGAUGGAGCUGAAAUCAGUCGAAGAUACCAGCUGGCUGCAACUGUUUAUUAAAAACACAGCACUGUGCAAACACGAAAGUGGACGUAUACGGUGUGACGCCUGCCCGGUGCCGGAAGGUUAAUUGAUGGGGUUAGCGCAAGCGAAGCUCUUGAUCGAAGCCCCGGUAAACGGCGGCCGUAACUAUAACGGUCCUAAGGUAGCGAAAUUCCUUGUCGGGUAAGUUCCGACCUGCACGAAUGGCGUAAUGAUGGCCAGGCUGUCUCCACCCGAGACUCAGUGAAAUUGAACUCGCUGUGAAGAUGCAGUGUACCCGCGGCAAGACGGAAAGACCCCGUGAACCUUUACUAUAGCUUGACACUGAACAUUGAGCCUUGAUGUGUAGGAUAGGUGGGAGGCUUUGAAGUGUGGACGCCAGUCUGCAUGGAGCCGGCCUUGAAAUACCACCCUUUAAUGUUUGAUGUUCUAACGUUGACCCGUGAUCCGGGUUGCGGACAGUGUCUGGUGGGUAGUUUGACUGGGGCGGUCUCCUCCUAAAGAGUAACGGAGGAGCACGAAGGUUGGCUAAUCCUGGUCGGACAUCAGGAGGUUAGUGCAAUGGCAUAAGCCAGCUUGACUGCGAGCGUGACGGCGCGAGCAGGUGCGAAAGCAGGUCAUAGUGAUCCGGUGGUUCUGAAUGGAAGGGCCAUCGCUCAACGGAUAAAAGGUACUCCGGGGAUAACAGGCUGAUACCGCCCAAGAGUUCAUAUCGACGGCGGUGUUUGGCACCUCGAUGUCGGCUCAUCACAUCCUGGGGCUGAAGUAGGUCCCAAGGGUAUGGCUGUUCGCCAUUUAAAGUGGUACGCGAGCUGGGUUUAGAACGUCGUGAGACAGUUCGGUCCCUAUCUGCCGUGGGCGCUGGAGAACUGAGGGGGGCUGCUCCUAGUACGAGAGGACCGGAGUGGACGCAUCACUGGUGUUCGGGUUGUCAUGCCAAUGGCACUGCCCGGUAGCUAAAUGCGGAAGAGAUAAGUGCUGAAAGCAUCUAAGCACGAAACUUGCCCCGAGAUGAGUUCUCCCUGACUCCUUGAGAGUCCUGAAGGAACGUUGAAGACGACGACGUUGAUAGGCCGGGUGUGUAAGCGCAGCGAUGCGUUGAGCUAACCGGUACUAAUGAACCGUGAGGCUUAACC
This 1673-nucleotide ribosomal RNA is filed under the name Escherichia coli TW10828. RNAcentral describes it as "bacterial LSU rRNA". It matches the Rfam family "Bacterial large subunit ribosomal RNA", at positions 1270 to 2925 of the family's 2925-position model. The record is from RNAcentral. Lineage: Bacteria; Pseudomonadati; Pseudomonadota; Gammaproteobacteria; Enterobacterales; Enterobacteriaceae.